GUUUAUUUGAUAGUACCUUACUACUUGGAUAACCGUGGUAAUUCUAGAGCUAAUACAUGCUAAAAACCCCAACUUCGGGAGGGGUGUAUUUAUUAGAUAAAAAACCAAUGCCCUUCGGGGCUCUUUGGUGAUUCAUGAUAACUUAACGGAUCGCAUGGCCUUGCGCCGGCGACGGUUCAUUCAAAUUUCUGCCCUAUCAACUUUCGAUGGUAAGGUAUUGGCUUACCAUGGUUUCAACGGGUAACGGGGAAUUAGGGUUCGAUUCCGGAGAGGGAGCCUGAGAAACGGCUACCACAUCCAAGGAAGGCAGCAGGCGCGCAAAUUACCCAAUCCCGACACGGGGAGGUAGUGACAAUAAAUACUGAUACAGGGCUCUUUUGGGUCUUGUAAUUGGAAUGAGUACAAUUUAAACCCCUUAACGAGGAACAAUUGGAGGGCAAG
This 441-nucleotide ribosomal RNA is filed under the name Phyllosticta flevolandica. Its description in RNAcentral is "SSU rRNA". It matches the Rfam family "Eukaryotic small subunit ribosomal RNA", at positions 115 to 559 of the family's 1831-position model. Lineage: Eukaryota; Fungi; Ascomycota; Dothideomycetes; Botryosphaeriales; Phyllostictaceae. The record is from RNAcentral.